GUGAAUCAUCAAAUCUUUGAACGCAAAUUGCACUCUCUGGUAUUCCGGAGAGUAUGCCUGUUUGAGGGUCAGUUUUAAUAAAAAUCGGUGUGGGUUCUGCCUUGCUUGUUGACGCACCGGAUGUGGGUCGUCUGGCCUUCAGUGAAGGGACCUAGAAUUUUUCGUGAUUGUUUGCGAACGUAUUUAAAUGAUUUUACGUACGUUUGCGAUAUCGGAUACUAGGUGUGGUCAUCCUCAUGAUUUGAGCCUAGAAUUUUUCAGCAAAAUGACCUCAAAUCAGGUAAGAGUACCCGCGAA
RNAcentral lists this unclassified non-coding RNA (297 nucleotides) under Glomus sp. RNAcentral describes it as "partial contains 5.8S ribosomal RNA, internal transcribed spacer 2, and large subunit ribosomal RNA". The stretch from base 1 to 71 matches the Rfam family "5.8S ribosomal RNA", at positions 84 to 154 of the family's 154-position model. Lineage: Eukaryota; Fungi; Glomeromycota; Glomeromycetes; Glomerales; Glomeraceae. The record is from RNAcentral.